UAGGGAAUCUUCGGCAAUGGACGAAAGUCUGACCGAGCAACGCCGCGUGAGUGAAGAAGGUUUUCGGAUCGUAAAACUCUGUUGUUAGAGAAGAACAAGGACGUUAGUAACUGAACGUCCCCUGACGGUAUCUAACCAGAAAGCCACGGCUAACUACGUGCCAGCAGCCGCGGUAAUACGUAGGUGGCAAGCGUUGUCCGGAUUUAUUGGGCGUAAAGCGAGCGCAGGCGGUUUCUUAAGUCUGAUGUGAAAGCCCCCGGCGCAACCGGGGAGGGUCAUUGGAAACUGGGAGACUUGAGGGCAGAAGAGGAGAGUGGAAUUCCAUGUGUAGCGGUGAAAUGCGUAGAUAUAUGGAGGAACACCAGUGGCGAAGGCGGCUCUCUGGUCUGUAACUGACGCUGAGGCGCGAAAGCGUGGGGAGCAAACAGG
This 429-nucleotide ribosomal RNA is filed under the name Chloroflexota bacterium. Its description in RNAcentral is "Chloroflexi bacterium partial 16S ribosomal RNA". It matches the Rfam family "Bacterial small subunit ribosomal RNA", at positions 355 to 776 of the family's 1533-position model. The record is from RNAcentral. Lineage: Bacteria; Bacillati; Chloroflexota.